UACGGAGGAUCCAAGCGUUAUCCGGAUUUAUUGGGUUUAAAGGGAGCGUAGGUUGACAUAUAAGUCAGCUGUGAAAGUUUACGGCUCAACCGUGAAAUUGCAGUUGAUACUGUAUGUCUUGAGUGUACAAGAGGUGGGCGGAAUUCGUGGUGUAGCGGUGAAAUGCUUAGAUAUCACGAAGAACUCCAAUUGCGAAGGCAGCUCACUGGGGUACAACUGACACUGAGGCUCGAAAGUGUGGGUAUCAAACAGGAUUAGAUACCCUGGUAGUCCACACAGUAAGCGAUGAAUACUCGCUGUUUGCGAUAUACAGUAAGCGGCCAAGCGAACGCAUUAAGUAUUCCACCUGGGGAGUACGCCGGCAACGGUGA
Molecule: ribosomal RNA, 371 nt
Filed under: uncultured bacterium
Lineage: Bacteria
Description: bacterial SSU rRNA
Rfam family: Bacterial small subunit ribosomal RNA
Source: RNAcentral